GACGAACGCUGGCGGCGUGCUUAACACAUGCAAGUCGAACGGAAAGGCCCUGCUUUUGUGGGGUGCUCGAGUGGCGAACGGGUGAGUAACACGUGAGUAACCUGCCCUUGACUUUGGGAUAACUUCAGGAAACUGGGGCUAAUACCGGAUAGGAGCUCCUGCUGCAUGGUGGGGGUUGGAAAGUUUCGGCGGUUGGGGAUGGACUCGCGGCUUAUCAGCUUGUUGGUGGGGUAGUGGCUUACCAAGGCUUUGACGGGUAGCCGGCCUGAGAGGGUGACCGGCCACAUUGGGACUGCGGUACGGCCCAGACUGCUACGGGAGGCAGCAGUGGGGAAUAUUGCAGAAUGGGCGGAAGCCUGAUGCAGCAACGCCGCGUGCGGGAUGACGGCCUUCGGGUUGUAAACCGCUUUCGCCUGUGACGAAGCGUGAGUGACGGUAAUGGGUAAAGAAGCACCGGCUAACUACGUG
Molecule: ribosomal RNA, 468 nt
Filed under: uncultured bacterium
Lineage: Bacteria
Description: partial 16S ribosomal RNA
Rfam family: Bacterial small subunit ribosomal RNA
Source: RNAcentral